RNAcentral lists this ribosomal RNA (485 nucleotides) under uncultured bacterium. RNAcentral's name for it is "bacterial SSU rRNA". It matches the Rfam family "Bacterial small subunit ribosomal RNA", at positions 40 to 518 of the family's 1533-position model. The record is from RNAcentral.
CGACAGGCCUAACACAUGCAAGUCGAGGGGCAGCACAAGGAGCAAUCUGAGGUGGCGACCGGCGCACGGGUGAGUAACACGUAUGCAACCUGCCUGUAAGCGGGGAAUAACCCGUUGAAAGACGGACUAAUACCGCAUAAUACUAAAUUACUGCAUGGUAAUUUAUUUAAACAUUUAUGGCUUACAGAUGGGCAUGCGCAUGAUUAGCUAGUUGGAGAGGUAACGGCUCCCCAAGGCAACGAUCAUUAGGGGUUCUGAGAGGAAGGUCCCCCCACACUGGUACUGAGACACGGACCAGACUCCUACGGGAGGCAGCAGUGAGGAAUAUUGGUCAAUGGACGAGAGUCUGAACCAGCCAAGUCGCGUGCAGGAAGAAUUGUCCUAUGGAUUGUAAACUGCUUUUGCAGGGGAAUAAAGUGCAUCACGUGUGAUGUUUUGUAUGUACUCUGCGAAUAAGGAUCGGCUAACUCCGUGCCAGCCGCCGC